UUUUUCUUAAAAUAAGAUUUUUAAUAUUACUUAUUAUCAUAAAGAUAUAUUUACACACUUUACAGAAAUAGAAAAUAAAAACACAAAGCUACGCAUGAAAGGAAAAAUAAAAUAAGUACUCCAAGAGCUAAAGCUUAUCUUUUAUAAAUUAGAAACCAAAAGUUCAAAUAUGUACACAGUAUUUCAACCAUUUCUGAUACACUUGUUUUAUUUAUUUAUUUAUUUAUUUAUUUAUGUCAUUUAUUUUUGCCCAGUUCAACAUCAAAACAGAGACAGGGACUGUACAUUUGGCCUGGUGAGUAAUAUGAGCACACACCAUAAACAGGAUAUAAGUUUCAGGAGUAAUACAUCGUCUUUCAAAUGGUAUCUGCUUGAGACCUAGUAACACUGUUGCGAUGGUGUGUAAGCCUACACACUGCGUUUCUCCUAAGGUUGUUCUGAACGUAGCUGAUUUUUGACACAGUGGUUACAUAGAUGGAGAACGUGUCGCAAUCAAGGCAGGAGGGGCCUGUGCUAUUUUGGGUGUAGGAAGUCUCAUUUUGAGGCUCCAAGAUAAUGACAGAUCGUAGUCAUUUCUCACGGGAGAUAAAAUCUAGUUAUCCUUUGGAUUGCCCAGCCGGUGGAAAAACUGUGAAUGCAUUGGAUUGAAUAUCAGCCACUCGAUCCUGCAGACACCCACUCUGAAGGCCAACAUGAUACAGUUUGAUGGGCUAAGGUAAAAUCAUGGAAUGUGCUGUCUGCCACUUCCACAACGAGUGAAAUGUUUGGUUCAGUGUAGAGGAAUCUUAGGUUUAAAAAAAUAAAAACCGUGUGUUUUUUCUGCAAUCUUUUUGUGCGUGAGUGUGUGUGUCGGGGCAGGGCGGUUUGUGUCGAUAGCUAUUGGAGAUCAAUGGCUAAGCUCGUAUUUUAAAACCUGUUUCUAGCUUAUUCUCAUUUCCACCAGUAACACACAUCUAUCUCUCUGCUCAUCCCCACUCCUUACACACUCCCAGCCAAAUGCAUUUGGACGAAAAUAACUAAACACAGAGGGGGCAAGUUCUCAGAACAAACAUUUUUCUACCAGGAAAACAUGCUAACAAGUGCAUAGGAACAUUACUCAGGCCUUGUGAUGGUCACAGAGAAGAGGAACUGGAGAGGAAACAUUGAGAGGAUAGGAAUCGUUUCUCUUGUGUAAGCCUUGCUGGAAAAGACCAUUAAGGAAAAUGGUUUUGCUCCCCGAGCAUAAUGUAUUGGUUUACCAUUUCAGUUUGAGCCUAGACGUGCUUGUCCUUCCACACCACAAGGCCCAUUAACCUGAUGUGCAGGGGAGGGCUGUGGGCUAUGAUCUACAAGAAAAGAAUGCCUGAAAGCUUUCACGUGUCCACGACAUAUUGUGCUGCAGACUACUUUUCUAUUUUGUUACAUCCACAAAAGAUACAGCUUCUCACACUGUAUUCAAAAAAGUAAGCUUUGGACAACCAGCUAGACAAGAAUCAGACAAAAAAAAAUAAAAAUGUCACAAUACACUGGAAAACCAUUCCAUACCAAGAGAGUCUUGUUUUCAGGGUGUAUUUUUCCAGCAGCAUAAUGGAAUUGCAAAAGUGCAGCCUUGCAAACCCAUGCAGAGAAGUCUUGGAGCAAAGCCACGUCUAUUUGUUGGGACUCAUUGACAUCGGAGGCUUUGGAUCAGUGGGAUAUUUGGCUUUUGAUUUUUGUCUUUUUUGGAUUCAACUGAUAACCAGGCCGAGAUUUAAAAAGGGUUCUGUACAUAAACAUCGGUUUGCUCUGGUCUCUGAAAGGGCAGCGUGGCUGGUGCGAAUGGUGAGGAUACAUUCAUGAAAAACAGUGCGGAUACAGACGUUGCUCGGCUCUGUAACAAUAACUUCUGAGAUGGGGAAACAUUGAUUUGAACCCCGUGUCAUGACCCAGUCUACUUCCAGCAUCCCAACUCCUGUGGCUUUGAACUUUCAUCCUCAGCUCAUAUCUCCUUACUAUCAUCCCCAAUAAUACAUGAGACAUCCUGAGCAAAGCUGUCUCACUCCCGAGGAGCAUUAAUGAAAUCUACAUCUCUGUCUGAGAGGGUAUGAAAAAAUAAUGGUGGAACUGAAAUUAUUACACUUCACAGUGCCCUAGGAUUUAAUACAUUUUUAAUCAAGGUGAGCUUGGCUGGGUGGAUUACCACUGUGAUGUUAGAUGCUCUCUUAAUAAAAGCAUCUCACGCUGGGACUGAGAAGUCUCUGCAUUUUAUUAUAAUAUUUGCAUGAGACAUGGCGAGAGGGGAAAAGUGUUGGAAAUCUAGGUUAAUCAGUUGCCAGUUGCUUAUGUGGUCAAAACUGAUUUGAAAGAAAUGAGUUUGCUGAUUGAACUGGAGCAGAUUAAAGAAAACAAAAGCAAUUAGCAAGUUGCUCUGCACAGCUAAUACACAACAACAAAGGAUUGUAAGGUGUCUUUUUCUACAGGUCACAGUCCUAAUAUGUUACAUGGUUACACACUGAAUCAGCAGGGGGUUCGGAAAUUGCAAAGGGGGAAGGGUGCAGUUUCUGUCUAAGCCAAUUUAACAAUGAGCUCAGACUAAGUGGCCCUGGCCAACCUUGGGGAGAUCCAUCUGAGAAAGAUUAACUCUAGGAUUUAAUGAGUGUAAUGAUCAAAGCCGUGACCACCUGUGCUGUGGAAAGGCAGACCAGGAAGGCAACUGUACCCAACAUAAUGUAGGGAAAGGAUCGUGACUAAGUGACUGAAUCGGAAUAAAUCAUGGCUAUAUUGAUGUAUACAUACGAGGGAGAGUAAAGAUACAAUAUACGAAAAUAUGCUCAUAUACGUUUUAAAUGUAUUGUAUGUUUGUGUCUUGUUAAAUAAAUGCACAAAAUAGACUGCUCUAGUACAAGCCUCUAUCACAGCACCCUGAGAAAAAAAGAAAUCAAACUAUAACACAGAAAUAAACAUAAACAGUAAUAUAUUCCAGUAUGAUGGAAAGGCAUAGCAUUUUUGUCAGUGAAAGAUAUCGGUCAAAGGGUCAAACCAGCCAUAUGCUGAAUGUUAAAACAGCCAGAGCACUAGUGGUAGGCUGAUCACGGCGGCAUAUUAACUGAGCUCUUUUUGGUCUAAUUUAACUUGUCCUCCUUGUGUUGGAUUUCUCUUUGCAGAAAUUUAAAAUGCAUAAUGUGUCAGUGUAUCAAGACUUCAAACAAGAGGUAAUGUGUUUCUCGUUUUCGCCCUAACCUUUCAUUGCUUCGCUCCUGGCAGCAUUGUGGAGAAGGUUAUUAUUUGGCACUUCAUUAAAAGGCAAGGCGGCCUGUCGGUGGAGCAGACCGCCACUGCCAGUUAACAGUCGUGUAGAGCAGCUGCACGGGGGCAGCGGUGUGGUGAGAAGGCUGGGGAUUGGGGACAGGAUUGGGAUUUGGGGUCAAAGGACUCAUCCAAGGUGGGACAUGUUACAGAGCACGCCCGUAAACCCCGCCUCCCAAGGUGUUAAUGAGUUCAGAAACACCAGAAUAGCUUUGGAUUAAAGAAUCUCCUAAAUGAAGGACUUAUUCUGUCACUUUACUAGAUUGUUUUGAUAGUAUGUGCUCUCUUUUUAGUCCGUCUUUGCUUUGCAUGUGGACGUACUGUCAUAAGGAGGUACAAAGCACCAUUAAUAAUGAUAAUUAAGUGAUGAUAGUGAUGUUAUUAAGUUGUGACGCUUUUGCUCGUCCGUUUCAAACAAAACCUUUUUAUUCCUUUUUCGCAUCAGACAUCCAGAGUAUCACAAGCGAACUUAAUAUUUGCCAACUAUUAAAACUGACACUGCCCCGUCUGCAUGAUCAGCGCCCUCACCCGACGGUAAAGCCGUUAAAUAGCUACACAGCAAUGAAAUCAGCGGCUGCAGGAACCUUGGAUCCGAGACGUGGGAAUACCGCAUCGUGGAGAAGGGACAGAUGCUUUAGGAUUCAGAUUGUUUUGACCAGGCUCCCUCUCCACCACAUGUCAUGCAAAGUGUGUGAGACACUCAGGGAGAUUGCUAUGAUUGGGCUCUAUUAAGCAAAUAAUAAGAAAAUUGAAAAGAAAAAAAAAACACUUGGGAGAAGACAGAGAUAGAUAAGUAGUCAGGGAGAGAGAGAGAGAGAAAAGAGAGACAGAGAAAUAGAGUCUGAUAGCUCGGGCUCAAUACCCCCCACCCCCCCUUCCCUGCCCCCAGUUCCUCCUAGAGCUGAGGGUGAGCGGCUUGUCCUGAUUUUUUUUGUGGACAGAGUUGCUUGAAGAACCAGCAGGUGCUAUGGACAUCACUCUUCAGGCUGGGCAAGCGUAGGCCCUUCAUUGCAAGGCCCCCCAAGGCAAAGGAAGAGCAUAGAAAUCAGAACCUGGGGGAGGGCGCUCAAAGCAGUGCCUGCAAAACAGGAAGACGACACAGAAAAGAAAGUUCAUGAGCCCCUGCCGUCUGUUUUUCCUGAAAACCAUUCAGUCAUGCAGACAUUAACUU
Molecule: long non-coding RNA, 4435 nt
Organism: Astatotilapia calliptera (eastern happy)
Lineage: Eukaryota; Metazoa; Chordata; Actinopteri; Cichliformes; Cichlidae
Source: Ensembl